CCUACGGGAGGCAGCAGUGGGGGAUAUUGGACAAUGGGGGGAACCCUGAUCCAGCGACGCCGCGUGAGUGAAGAAGUAUCUCGGUAUGUAAAGCUCUAUUAGCAGGGAAGAAAAAAUGACGGUACCUGACUAAGAAGCCCCGGCUAACUACGUGCCAGCAGCCGCGGUAAUACGUAGGGGGCAAGCGUUAUCCGGAAUUACUGGGUGUAAAGGGAGCGUAGACGGGGAUGCAAGUCUGGAGUGAAAGCCGGGGGCUCAACCCCCGGACUGCUCUGGAAACUGUGUCACUGGAGUGCAGGAGAGGUGAGCGGAAUUCCGAGUGUAGCGGUGAAAUGCGUAGAUAUUAGGAGGAACACCAGUGGCGAAGGCGGCUCACUGGACUGUAACUGACGUUGAGGCUCGAAAGCGUGGGGAGCAAACAGGAUUAGAUACCCCUGUAGUC
Molecule: ribosomal RNA, 442 nt
Filed under: uncultured bacterium
Lineage: Bacteria
Description: partial 16S ribosomal RNA
Rfam family: Bacterial small subunit ribosomal RNA
Source: RNAcentral